RNAcentral lists this unclassified non-coding RNA (190 nucleotides) under uncultured Herpotrichiellaceae. RNAcentral describes it as "sequence contains ITS2". The record is from RNAcentral. RNAcentral also lists the same sequence under 1 other name. Lineage: Eukaryota; Fungi; Ascomycota; Eurotiomycetes; Chaetothyriales; Herpotrichiellaceae.
UCACCCCUCAAGCCUCCCGGCUUGGUGUUGGACGGCCUGGUCGAGAUAUCUAAAUCUCGACCCCUCCUAAAGACAAUGACGGCGGCCUCGUGGGACCCCCGGUACACUGAGCUUCUUAAUUGAGCACGUAUCGGAUCUAGGGCACCCGGGACCCGGUCUCUCUCCCUUUUAUAGGGAAACUCCUUUCUAA